GCCUGACGGGAGCAAUGCCGCGUGAGUGAAGAAGGCCUUCGGGUCGUAAAACUCUGUUMUWWKAGAAGAACAAAUUGUAGAGUAACUGCUACAGUCUUGACGGUAUCUUAUCAGAAAGCCACGGCUAACUACGUGCCAGCAGCCGCGGUAAUACGUAGGUGGCAAGCGUUGUCCGGAUUUAUUGGGCGUAAAGGGAGCGCAGGUGGUUUCUUAAGUCUGAUGUGAAAGCCCACGGCUUAACCGUGGAGGGUCAUUGGAAACUGGGAAACUUGAGUACAGAAGAGGAAUGUGGAACUCCAUGUGUAGCGGUGGAAUGCGUAGAUAUAUGGAAGAACACCAGUGGCGAAGGCGACAUUCUGGUCUGUUACUGACACUGAGGYUCGAAAGCGUGGGGAGCAAACAGGAUUARAUACCCUGGUAGUCCACGCCGUAAACRAUGAGUGCUAGGUGUUGGAGGGUUUCCGCCCUUCAGUGCCGCAGUUAACGCAUUAAGCACUCCGCCUGGGGAGUACGACCGCAAGGUUGAAACUCAAAGGAAUUGACGGGGACCCGCACAAGCGGWGGAGCAUGUGGUUUAAUUCRAAGCAACGCGAAGAAMCUUACCAAGUCUUGACAUCCU
This 619-nucleotide ribosomal RNA is filed under the name Aerococcus viridans. RNAcentral's name for it is "bacterial SSU rRNA". It matches the Rfam family "Bacterial small subunit ribosomal RNA", at positions 381 to 990 of the family's 1533-position model. Lineage: Bacteria; Bacillati; Bacillota; Bacilli; Lactobacillales; Aerococcaceae. The record is from RNAcentral.